Long non-coding RNA from Tribolium castaneum (red flour beetle), 989 nucleotides. RefSeq lists it as uncharacterized. The transcript is spliced from 2 exons. Lineage: Eukaryota; Metazoa; Arthropoda; Insecta; Coleoptera; Tenebrionidae. The record is from RefSeq and is a predicted model, not a curated record.
UUUAUUUGAUUGGUCUACGGAGGGCUAUAACUUAGGAGACGAAACGAGGUACAAAAUCGCACCCAAAAAGAUAGUACGGCAGAGCACAAAUGAGGGCGCUUUGAUUUAAAUUAAUUUAAUUUAAAUCCAACCGAAUCACUACAUUCCAUUUCACUUCAUAGUAAAAUUUUGCAACAGCGCAUUCGAAUGAGGAAGUUUCCAUUUUAUUGAAAUUAAUAAUAGUUUUCAUCAUGGCCUCCUUGAUGUAUGGAGACAACUUCGUUGUUCAGGCCUGGCGCAUCGUUAAGUUCGGCUGAUUCUCCACUGGCGCUGCAUUUAGCGGACUGACGUUUAUUUGACAAAUACCAUUUUUGAGGUUAAAGACUAAUAAAUUUGAAAGAUGUAAGUGUGCAUUCGUGAAAUACGUUGAAAAUGUGAGGAUAAUUCUAAAGUUAUGCCCUGAACGAACGUUUGGAUAGUGUAACUUUUGCAGGAAAUCAUUUUACGAUCAUUAGGAUUUUUUAUUUUCAGCUUCAGAAGAUAUACAAAUUAUUUCAAGGUGAAUUGAUUGUUCAUCGUUUAUAAGUAUUUUAAGCAUAACCUACGGCACUAGUACGCAGACACAGAUGCAGAGAAAACGAUGUUUCAAAGAACCUUCCAUUUAUUAUGCAUACUCUAUGGUUUUACCAAUGGUUAAGAUUGAAUGCGUUACAAAUCUGUGAUUUUUAAGACAUGGCUUAAGUUUUCUGAAAGUUUUAGUAAAAUGUGCAAAGAAAGUCGUUUUUUUCAAAUGAAAUGGUUUAAAAAAGCUCGAUCCAGCGUUCUUCUGCUGCGUUACUCUCUGCUGGAGUGUCUCUGAACCGUCCGUUCCAAAGUCCCUGUCUGGACCUCUGCUCACUCUCAAGCACCGCUCGUGGAUCACCAAACUCCCGAAAAAAAUCUACUACUUUAUAAAUUUUUUUGAGUUUUUGUAUUUAGAAAUUAUCAAUUACAUUGUGGGCUCUUUUUCA